RNAcentral lists this ribosomal RNA (101 nucleotides) under Carlito syrichta (Philippine tarsier). Lineage: Eukaryota; Metazoa; Chordata; Mammalia; Primates; Tarsiidae. The record is from RNAcentral.
GUAUGGCCAUAUCACCCUGGACACACCUGAUCUCAUCUGAUCUCAGAAGCUAAGCAGGAUCAGUCCUGGUUAGUACUGGAUGGGAGACACAGGCAUCAACU